UACGUAGGGUGCAAGCGUUGUCCGGAAUUAUUGGGCGUAAAGAGCUCGUAGGCGGUCUGUCGCGUCGGAUGUGAAAAUCCAGGGCUCAACCCUGGACCUGCAUUCGAUACGGGCAGACUAGAGUUCGGUAGGGGAGACUGGAAUUCCUGGUGUAGCGGUGGAAUGCGCAGAUAUCAGGAGGAACACCAAUAGCGAAGGCAGCUCGCUGGGACGGUACUGACGCUAAGGCGCGAAAGCGUGGGGAGCGAACAGG
Molecule: ribosomal RNA, 253 nt
Filed under: uncultured bacterium
Lineage: Bacteria
Description: partial 16S ribosomal RNA
Rfam family: Bacterial small subunit ribosomal RNA
Source: RNAcentral